AACGCACCUUGCGCUCCUUGGUAUUCCGAGGAGCAUGCCUGUUCGAGUGUCAUGAAACUCUCAAACCGUCAUCUUUUAUGGAUGUUCGGGCUUGGAUUUGGAUGUUGCUGGGUCUAACGGCUCGGCUCGUCUUAAAAGCAUUAGCUGUCUCUCACGACUUCAGUUAACGGUGUGAUAAUUACAUCUACGCCGAAGCCUUCGGGCGCUGAGUCGGGUUAAAGCGGCUUCUAACCGUCUUCGGACAAUUUCAUUUCACAUCUGGCCUCGAAUCAGGUAGGACUACCCGCUGAACUUAA
This 296-nucleotide unclassified non-coding RNA is filed under the name uncultured fungus. Its description in RNAcentral is "partial contains 5.8S ribosomal RNA, internal transcribed spacer 2, and large subunit ribosomal RNA". The stretch from base 1 to 52 matches the Rfam family "5.8S ribosomal RNA", at positions 103 to 154 of the family's 154-position model. The record is from RNAcentral. Lineage: Eukaryota; Fungi.